Non-coding RNA from Helianthus annuus (common sunflower), 92 nucleotides. NCBI's taxonomy places the organism in Eukaryota, Viridiplantae, Streptophyta, Magnoliopsida, Asterales, Asteraceae. The record is from Rfam.
CUGACAGAAGAGAGUGAGCACAGGCCGGCAACUGUAUACGGAGAUUAUACUCUUGUUGGAGUUAUGCGUGUGCUCACUUCUCUUUCUGUCAG